RNAcentral lists this ribosomal RNA (776 nucleotides) under uncultured Neocallimastigales. RNAcentral describes it as "partial large subunit ribosomal RNA". It matches the Rfam family "Eukaryotic large subunit ribosomal RNA", at positions 22 to 621 of the family's 3401-position model. The record is from RNAcentral. Lineage: Eukaryota; Fungi; Neocallimastigomycota; Neocallimastigomycetes; Neocallimastigales.
AUAUCAGUCAUGCAUAGCAUAUCAAUAAGCGGAGGAAAAGAAACUAACAAGGAUUCCCUUAGUAACGGCGAGUGAAGCGGGAAGAGCUCAAAUUUGAAAUCUUCAAGGUUUUACCUUGACGAAUUGUAGUUUAAAGAAGUGUUUUCUGUUGAAGUUUCUGGUAAAAGUUCUUUGGAAUAGGACAUCAUAGAGGGUGAGAAUCCCGUAUUUGACCAUUACUUUCAGCUUUGUGAUACACUUUCAAAGAGUCGGAUUGUUUGGGAAUGCAGUCCAAAAUGGGUGGUAUAUUUCAUCUAAAGCUAAAUAUUGGCGAGAGACCGAUAGCGAACAAGUACCGUGAGGGAAAGAUGAAAAGAACUUUGAAAAGAGAGUUAAACAGUACGUGAAAUUGUCAAAAGGGAGGCGUUUGACACCAGUGUUGUUUUCUCGAAAAUCAAUUAAAAAGAGUUGGAUUUUGUGUUGUAUUGACUUUAUCAGGCUUUCUUCACUCUUUUCCAGCUUUUUUUAAUGCACUUUUCGUUUAACAAGUCAACAUCAGUUUCUUUUGUUGUAAAAAGGUCAUUGGAAGGUGGCUUUCUCUUCGGAGAAAGUGUUUAUAGCCUUUGACUCAUGCAAUCGGAGAGACUGAGGUCUGCAGCGUAGAUCCUUCGGGGUUAGAUACAUUUGUGCUAAGUUAUAGCUUUUCAUAGACAACUUGUUGACUAUGUUUAGUCUUGUAGCUUACUCGCUUAUGCUAUUUUACCUACGCUUAGGAUGUUGAACUCUAUCACACACAG